This 231-nucleotide ribosomal RNA is filed under the name uncultured bacterium. Its description in RNAcentral is "partial 16S ribosomal RNA". It matches the Rfam family "Bacterial small subunit ribosomal RNA", at positions 99 to 334 of the family's 1533-position model. The record is from RNAcentral.
CGGACGGGUGAGUAAUGUCUGGGAAACUGCCCGAUGGAGGGGGAUAACUACUGGAAACGGUAGCUAAUACCGCAUAACGUCGCAAGACCAAAGAGGGGACCUUCGGGCCUCUUGCCAUCGGAUGUGCCCAGAUGGGAUUAGCUAGUAGGUGGGGUAAUGGCUCACCUAGGCGACGAUCCCUAGCUGGUCUGAGAGGAUGACCAGCCACACUGGAACUGAGACACGGUCCAG